AACCUAGCACACCUGCGGUGUGUACCUGCGGAAGGAUCAUUAACCUUUCAAAUCAGGGUGCGUCGCGGCCCCCGAGGAGCGGAAACAAUCCUGGGGAGGUUUGCGGGGUCUUCGGACCCCCCUAACGCACGCACGACUGCCAUCCUUACUUUACGAGCACCUUCUGUUCUCCCUCGGCGGGGCAACCUGCCGUUGGAACCGAAUAAACUCUUUUUGCAUCUAGCAUUACCUGUUCCGAAA
RNAcentral lists this unclassified non-coding RNA (240 nucleotides) under soil metagenome. Its description in RNAcentral is "partial contains 5.8S ribosomal RNA, internal transcribed spacer 2, and large subunit ribosomal RNA". The record is from RNAcentral.